AUACGUAGGUGGCAAGCGUUGUCCGGAAUUAUUGGGCGUAAAGCGCGCGCAGGCGGUCCUUUAAGUCUGAUGUGAAAGCCCACGGCUCAACCGUGGAGGGUCAUUGGAAACUGGGGGACUUGAGUGCAGAAGAGGAAAGUGGAAUUCCAAGUGUAGCGGUGAAAUGCGUAGAGAUUUGGAGGAACACCAGUGGCGAAGGCGACUUUCUGGUCUGUAACUGACGCUGAGGCGCGAAAGCGUUGGGAGCAAACAGGAUUAGAUACCCUGGUAGUCCACGCCGUAAACGAUGAGUGCUAAGUGUUAGGGGGUUUCCGCCCCUUAGUGCUGCAGCUAACGCAUUAAGCACUCCGCCUGGGGAGUACGGUCACAAGACUGAAACUCAAAUGAAUUGACGGGG
This 397-nucleotide ribosomal RNA is filed under the name uncultured bacterium. RNAcentral's name for it is "partial 16S ribosomal RNA". It matches the Rfam family "Bacterial small subunit ribosomal RNA", at positions 523 to 918 of the family's 1533-position model. The record is from RNAcentral.